CCUCUAUUGCAGCACACUAACGCCAUGGAUGGACGACGGAAGCUCCCUGCUACCUCCAAAUCCCUGUCCUCAGUAGCCGGUUGUUUAAAUUGAGUUUGCCAUCACCUCCCCCUCGCCACAACGAUCCGUUCGAACCCUUCCCUGAGCGCAGCCAUGACCGGCGAUGCCCGCGCCAUCGCCGCAGCAGGCUGCCACCGCGGGCUCGCGUGGCCAGGCCACCUGGAGCUGCCGCCGGCCCAGCCAACUCCUUGGCUGUGCGCGCGCUCCACCAGGGACGGCUCGGCUGGCCCCGCCGCGCUCGGCCGACGCCGGCGAGCCCCGACCAGGAAAGGCCGAUCCCCUUUCCCUGUACGUUCCAAGGAAGAAGACGAUGGACCAAUCUGCAAAUUCCAGAACAGCAGGGGGGAACGAGAGAUGAUGAUCGUGCAAGUGAUGUGGUGCCAACCACAAGAUGCAGUUGGUGGACGACCUAAAGAAUGAUGGACUUAACCAGUGGAUGCUCGCCAAGCGAGUACCUCCCCCAGCAAACACUGUCUAAGUGUUAAAUUAAAGGUACCUCCUUGAUUUGGUUGAUGGUGUGACUUGGCCUUCAUCCCUGCCACCGGGAUAUAUGGUUGAGAGGGUUACUGCUUCCGCAGGAGAGGACCAGGAGGAGUAGCGUGGCCAGGCUUCGCCAUGUUACUCGGUUUUCUCCGUUAGUUAUUUCCGUU
RNAcentral lists this unclassified non-coding RNA (710 nucleotides) under Zea mays. RNAcentral describes it as "misc RNA Zm00001eb061980". Lineage: Eukaryota; Viridiplantae; Streptophyta; Magnoliopsida; Poales; Poaceae. The record is from RNAcentral.